GUGCUCUUCGGCAGCACAUAGACUAAAAUUGGAACAAUACAGAGAAGGUUAGCCUGUGCAGGCUAAUGCAUAAGGUGUUCCAUAUUUAA
Molecule: small nuclear RNA, 89 nt
Filed under: Suricata suricatta (meerkat)
Lineage: Eukaryota; Metazoa; Chordata; Mammalia; Carnivora; Herpestidae
Source: RNAcentral